GGCUAUAUCACGUUGGAACACAGGUUUCCCGUACGAUCAUCGCAGUUAAGCAACAUCGAACCUUUUCAGUACCUAGAUGGGUGACCAUUUGGGAAUACUAGGUGUUGUA
Acanthosepion pharaonis is the source of this 109-nucleotide non-coding RNA. The record is from the annotation of a GenBank genome assembly. NCBI's taxonomy places the organism in Eukaryota, Metazoa, Mollusca, Cephalopoda, Sepiida, Sepiidae.